Pieris napi is the source of this 181-nucleotide long non-coding RNA. RefSeq lists it as uncharacterized. The record is from RefSeq and is a predicted model, not a curated record. The transcript is spliced from 2 exons. Lineage: Eukaryota; Metazoa; Arthropoda; Insecta; Lepidoptera; Pieridae.
GAAUUGUAAAGAAACAGUGACCACGCCGAUGGAGCAGGAACUCGUCCGGAUAUCACACACGCCGUGACAAGAUUAGCAGCGUUUUGUGAUAAUCCUGGACAGAUACAGUGGAAUGCGGUGAAAAGAUUACUUCGUUAUCUUAAGAGGACAGCCGAUUAUGGACUGAUUUAUCGAAAAACAG